CGAAAACCCACAGCUGGGGCAUCAACACAUAACAGAGCCCAAAGGCCUGGAGGAGGAGAGGCUCGCCAGUUUGGAGGGAUGGUCUUCAUUCGCUGAUGUCGCAUGGCCUAGUCCGCCACUGCAUUAGCUGAUCGUGGGCAGCAAACCAGGCCCACUAGCAGCAUUUGCUGCAGGAAAGCUUUCAAUUCAAACAACAUCGCACAUGCCUGCCAGUCCAUCUACUCUUCACGCUUCAAGUAGUUGACAAGAACUUGGUUGUCAGACUCCACGAUAGCCUCCCCGAUUUCUUUGUCUUUCAAGUACUUUAGGGCUUUGAGAACCCCUAGGGUUUCCACUGCAGAGCCGUCUCUGCCCGGACUGUCUUCGUGAAUCCGUCUAUGAGGCUACCGGAGGAGUCCUGGACGACGCAAGACAUGGCUCCCUCCGUCGAUCCCUCACACAAUGACCCAUCUACAUUCAGCUUGAAAGAGCUAGCUUUUGAAGCUUGCCAGAUCUAUGACUUUGCAGACCUCUAGUUUUGUACCUUGAAAGACAAAAUUGUUGCGCUCCUUCCAUACUUGCUAAAGAAGAUUUCCGAUCCUUUCCAAAGAAGGGAGGUUGAUUUCCGGGUGGUUCCAUACCCUUGCAGCCCAUGGACAAAGGAGAAGGGUGUGUUCGACUAUUUCCACCUUGGCUCGGCAAAGAUCACAUACCGGAUCAAGUAAGAUCUUUCUUUUCCAUAGGUUCUCCUUGGUUGGUAUAGCGUUUUGACAAGCAUUCCAUACAAAGAUCUUCACUUUUAGACUGGUUCGCAUAUGCCAUAUUGCAUUCCAUAGUUCUAUUAGUGUUUAAUAUGAGGAAGAAGGGUGUUAUGUUGCUCUGCUUGCUGUUGUUCUGUCUCUUAGCAAGUUAUAACCAUUUUUGAUUGUAAAUGACCCAUUCUUCGUGCCCGUCCAUAUUAAUUCAUCGCUGGUAAAAUGACCAUUUAUUGGUGUUGCAAGGAUUUCCUGAGUAGUCUGCUCAUCAAAUAGGUUAUUUAUCAAUGGUUCAUUCCACUGUUGUGUCUCAGAAAGCAUUAACUCAUAAAAUUUUUGUGGAUCAUUUUUAUUUGUGGGCCCUCCUUUUAAUCCUCUUUUCAGCCAUCUAUCUGUUUUGAUAUUGACAGUUUCUCCAUUUCCUAUCGACCAUCUGAUUGAAUCCGCAAUAGCCUCCCUUCCAAUAAGCAAACUUUUCCAUCCCCAUGAAGGUUUAAAACCUUUAUCAGCAUGCCAGAAAUCUGAGCGACAAAAAUAAAGCCCUUUUAAUAAUUUACUCCAUAGUGCAUCCGGAUUUUUACCAUCCGCCAAGCUUGUUUACCCAAUAAGGCUUUAUUAACAGUAAGCAAGUCUCUAAAUCCCAUUCCUCCCCUAUCUUUCCUCAUCUUCAUGAUUUCCCAUCUUUUCCAAUGCAAACCAACCUUUGAUUCACUGUUUUUCCACAAAAAAUUAGCUGUUUUUUUUUUCUCUCUAUAGCCUUGCAAAUUGACAUUGGAAUUUUAAAAAACUGACAUAGCAUAUUGUGGUACCGCCUGCACCACUGAUUUUAGGAGUAUUUCCUUUCCUGCUUUUGAUAUGAUUUGUUCCUUCCAGCCCUCCAAUUUCAUAUUGAUCCUGUUUAAAAUCCACCCAAACAUUUGCCUCUUUGAUGCUCCCCAAUUAGAGGGAAUUCUUAGAUAUUUGCUUGAUUGCUCUAGCUCUGGUACCCUCAAUUCUCUUUUCAUAUUAUCCUUUAAUAGAUAUGGACAGUCUUUACUAAAGAAAAUACCAAACUUGUUUAAGUUGACAGCUUGUCCUAAGGCAUAACAAUACUGAUUAAUAACAGCUGCAAUAUUUUGGCAUUCCUGUAAAGAACCAUCCAAGAAAAAAAUUGAAUCAUUGGCAAAUAAUAAAUGAGUUAAAGUAGGGCAUAAUUUGUUCAACUUAAUUCCUUUGAUAUUCCCAUCUUGUAGAGCUUUACCCAUUAAAGAUGACAAACUGUUUGCCACCAAAAUAAACAGAUAGGGUGAUAAAGGGUCUCAUUGUCUAAUGCCUCCGGUGGGAGCGAAAAAAGAGAGGGGUUCCUUGUUAAACUUGAUGCUGAAAGUGACUGUAGUGACACAUUGCAUAAUCUAAUGAACCCAUUUAGCACAAAACCCCAUUUUCAGCAAGCAACCUUCUAAGAAAUCCCAUUCAAUUCUGUCAUAUGCUUUAUGCAUGUCAAGUUUCAGAACCGUUUGGAAGUGUUUUUUCAUUUUUCUCGUUCUCAAUUGAUGCAACACCUCUUGAAAAAUAUAAAUAUUAUCUUGAAUUUAUCUUCCACUGACGAAGGCACUUUGCUCUCCUGAAAUCAGCAUUGGCAAGCAUCUUUUCAAUCUAUUUGCCAAAAUUUUGGAUAUUAUUUUGUAUGCAAAAUUGUAAAGGCUAAUAUGGGGAUUUUGAUCAAGUCUUUCCGGGUGGGGGAUCUUUGGUAUCAAAGUAAUAUGUGCUCUGUUUAGGGCUGGUUCCAACACUCCCAAAAGAAAGAAACCUCGAACUUCCUCCAACACAUCAUAAUUUAUUAUAUCCCAGUGAUGCUGAUAAAAAAUUCCAUUUAACUCGUCUGGACCAAGAGCUUUCUGAGCUCCAAUUUGAAACACAGCAGCAUGAAUUUCUUCCAUUGUUACUUCCACCACUAAAUAUUCAUUUAUAUUAUUUUUGAUUAGUGUAGGGCAUUGAUCUAGUAUUGGUUGGUAGUUGCGAGGCCCUACCGAAGUAUAUAACUCCUUGAAAAAAGACAUAGUGAGGUGCUGAAGUUGCUGUUUUCCCCUAAUACACUGCUCUAAUGCAUUUUUCAGCAUAGUAAUUCUAUUUUUUUGGUCUCCUUUGGAUCGUUGCUACAUGGAAACAUUUCGUGUUUUUAUCUCCCCAACGAAACCAAUUGACUCGAGAUCUCAAAUCCCAAAACAUUUCCUCUCUGCGCCAUAAGGUUUCCAGCUCUUCUUUUAUAAGCUUUAUCCUGUUUGGUUCUUGAUAAAAGCUAUGGCUGUUAGUUAAUGGUUAAAGCUCAUUCUUUAGGGCUGUUAUACGGAUAUUGCUAUAAGGAAAUUUCCUUUUACUCCAUUCUUUCAAUGCUUGGCUGGUGGCAUGUAAUUUAUCUCUCAAUCCUCCUUUAAGACAAUGUUAAGAUUGCCAUGCAUGUUUAACUAUAUCCCUGCAUUCACCAUCUUCAACCCAAAAAGCCUCGAAGUGAAAAUCUUUUCUUUUUUUAACAUAUUCAGCACUACUCACCAAAAUGAGCGGACUAUGAUCGGACCCAAUAGUUGGUAGAGCAAAGGCUUCAGCUUUCGGGAACAUUAGCCGCCAAUCCAUCGAGCAACACUCUGUCUAGUUUCUCCUCAACCAAAUCAGCCCAUUCUCUAUUAUUUGACCAGGUAAACACACCCUUUACAAUCUAUUUCCAUUAACGAGCAAUCAUGAAUACAGCUUUGGAAUGCCUACAUUCUAUAAUUCUCUGCCAUCCUUCUUCCCAUCUUCUCCCAAUAAUAAAGUACUUCAUUGAAAUCCCCCACACACACCCAUGGAGGUGUAUUAGAAAGACCUAUUUGUCUCAGUUUCUCCCAUAGCUGUAAUCUUUCCCCAUAUAUGUGUUGACACCUAAAUUUUGAUGACCCGUUUAGUCAUUCAUUCUAUUAAAAAAUUAUGGGUUAAUUUUAUCCCUAAAAAAAUAGUUAAUCGCAUAGCAUAUAGUUUUAGGUGCAUUUAUUUUUUUAUUUGCAUUUACAUUGGGCCGGUGACGGAUGGGUUUGAAUUGAUGGUUCAUAAACUUUAAUUUGAUGAGUCGGGCUAAGCCCAUGAAGAAAGCAAAUCGGCCUAAGCUCGUAUUCUCGGAGAGAUUUUAUGAAUUCAUCUUUGUGAGAUUUCAAUUCAAAAGCAAAUAUUACGUUUGGAAAAAAUAAAUAUUGCGUUUCGAAAAGAAAUCUUCGUGGAUAUGGAUUUGGAAAAUUUAAAACACCUAAUCCGUGCCCUAUAAAUAGAUUAAAUGCGUAGGGUUUGGGAAGGGGGCCAGGCAAUAGAAAUAUACGGUCACAUAGGGCUUUUUCUCUGGGUUUUCUUCGAGGGAAUAGUAAGUAGAGAAAAAGUGAAAGAGGGAGAGAAAAGUGACAGUAGCAGUAAAAAAA
Eucalyptus grandis is the source of this 4153-nucleotide long non-coding RNA. RefSeq lists it as uncharacterized. The transcript has 3 exons. NCBI's taxonomy places the organism in Eukaryota, Viridiplantae, Streptophyta, Magnoliopsida, Myrtales, Myrtaceae. The record is from RefSeq and is a predicted model, not a curated record.